CUCGCAUGUCAUGUAUUUUUUUUGUAGUUGUAAUCCCAGUAGUAUUUACUUGCGCAUUUAGGAAUAUCAUAGUUAAAGCUAAAGAGGAAUUGUCCUAGCAUAAUUUACAUUUCAGAAUGUUACAGUAGUAAUGUAAAUACAGAUGGUUGAGACGGAAGGAAGGAGUUGAUGCUGCUGCUCCAGACCGAAUCAAAUCAAGGUGGUGCAUUGUAGACCCUGCAAUCUAUCCAUCCAUUCAAUCCAUAUACAAUCAGGUAUUUGCACAGAAGGUGCAAACAGUCCACUGUAGACACUGUAGUAGAGAAUAGAUAGAGCUUCACCUGCAGAGCAGAGAAUCCAAUGGAAUCCAACAGAGAGGAGAAGAAAAGAAGGAAGACCUGCAGAUGGUGG
Molecule: long non-coding RNA, 390 nt
Filed under: Triticum aestivum (bread wheat)
Lineage: Eukaryota; Viridiplantae; Streptophyta; Magnoliopsida; Poales; Poaceae
Description: long non-coding RNA (TAES_LNC014729)
Source: RNAcentral